AGGCCUGUCAUCGUCCAUACCUUCAGGGGACCAUUAUGAAGCAUUGAGUGCUCAAGAUAAACCAAACUUGUAUGAGGAAUUAGAAAAUGAGAAAGGACAAACGGAAAAAGUUUAUGUCAAUGAAGCAUUCUGAACUAAAUGUCACAACAUGAUUUUGUAUUGAAAACUAUGUAAUUUCAAUGUUUUAAUCAAAAUUCAAAAUGGCUUGAUGCUUGUUGGUGGAUGAUGUGGCCUGUUGAACAGUGUGGUACAUUUGGCGAUACCUAUUAUCCAAUGUUAUGUACUAUUAUUACUAGAUAUUAUAUCUAAUCAUUUUAAGCGUGUUGAUUGAAACUGAAGAAUAUAAGGAAAUGGAAAUAGUGAAAUACUUUCCAUGCACAUUAUCAUGAAAUUAUCAUAUAUUUAUUUUUGGAGAUAUAUUCUAUUUAAAGGUAUAUUUUUGUUAUUUGAUUAAUAUAUAAAUAAACAAUUACAUACA
Molecule: long non-coding RNA, 478 nt
Organism: Mytilus californianus (California mussel)
Lineage: Eukaryota; Metazoa; Mollusca; Bivalvia; Mytilida; Mytilidae
Exons: 3
Source: RefSeq, a predicted model, not a curated record